Molecule: ribosomal RNA, 2902 nt
Filed under: Klebsiella pneumoniae
Lineage: Bacteria; Pseudomonadati; Pseudomonadota; Gammaproteobacteria; Enterobacterales; Enterobacteriaceae
Description: 23S ribosomal RNA
Rfam family: Bacterial large subunit ribosomal RNA
Source: RNAcentral
GGUUAAGCGACUAAGCGUACACGGUGGAUGCCCUGGCAGUCAGAGGCGAUGAAGGACGUGCUAAUCUGCGAAAAGCGUCGGUAAGGUGAUAUGAACCGUUACAGCCGGCGAUGUCCGAAUGGGGAAACCCAGUGCAAUUCGUUGCACUAUCGUUAACUGAAUACAUAGGUUAACGAGGCGAACCGGGGGAACUGAAACAUCUAAGUACCCCGAGGAAAAGAAAUCAACCGAGAUUCCCCCAGUAGCGGCGAGCGAACGGGGAGCAGCCCAGAGUCUGAAUCAGCUUGUGUGUUAGUGGAACGGUCUGGAAAGUCCGACGGUACAGGGUGAUAGUCCCGUACACCAAAAUGCACAGGCUGUGAACUCGAAGAGUAGGGCGGGACACGUGGUAUCCUGUCUGAAUAUGGGGGGACCAUCCUCCAAGGCUAAAUACUCCUGACUGACCGAUAGUGAACCAGUACCGUGAGGGAAAGGCGAAAAGAACCCCGGCGAGGGGAGUGAAAAAGAACCUGAAACCGUGUACGUACAAGCAGUGGGAGCACCUUCGGGUGUGACUGCGUACCUUUUGUAUAAUGGGUCAGCGACUUAUAUUCUGUAGCAAGGUUAACCGUAUAGGGGAGCCGCAGGGAAACCGAGUCUUAACUGGGCGUUAAGUUGCAGGGUAUAGACCCGAAACCCGGUGAUCUAGCCAUGGGCAGGUUGAAGGUUGGGUAACACUAACUGGAGGACCGAACCGACUAAUGUUGAAAAAUUAGCGGAUGACUUGUGGCUGGGGGUGAAAGGCCAAUCAAACCGGGAGAUAGCUGGUUCUCCCCGAAAGCUAUUUAGGUAGCGCCUCGUGAACUCAUCUUCGGGGGUAGAGCACUGUUUCGGCUAGGGGGUCAUCCCGACUUACCAACCCGAUGCAAACUACGAAUACCGAAGAAUGUUAUCACGGGAGACACACGGCGGGUGCUAACGUCCGUCGUGAAGAGGGAAACAACCCAGACCGCCAGCUAAGGUCCCAAAGUCAUGGUUAAGUGGGAAACGAUGUGGGAAGGCACAGACAGCCAGGAUGUUGGCUUAGAAGCAGCCAUCAUUUAAAGAAAGCGUAAUAGCUCACUGGUCGAGUCGGCCUGCGCGGAAGAUGUAACGGGGCUAAACCAUGCACCGAAGCUGCGGCAGCGACACUAUGUGUUGUUGGGUAGGGGAGCGUUCUGUAAGCCUGCGAAGGUGUGCUGUGAGGCAUGCUGGAGGUAUCAGAAGUGCGAAUGCUGACAUAAGUAACGAUAAAGCGGGUGAAAAGCCCGCUCGCCGGAAGACCAAGGGUUCCUGUCCAACGUUAAUCGGGGCAGGGUGAGUCGACCCCUAAGGCGAGGCCGAAAGGCGUAGUCGAUGGGAAACAGGUUAAUAUUCCUGUACUUGGUGUUACUGCGAAGGGGGGACGGAGAAGGCUAUGUUAGCCGGGCGACGGUUGUCCCGGUUUAAGCAUGUAGGCUGGUUGUCCAGGCAAAUCCGGAUAAUCAAGGCUGAGGUGUGAUGACGAGGCACUACGGUGCUGAAGUAACAAAUGCCCUGCUUCCAGGAAAAGCCUCUAAGCAUCAGGUAACAUCAAAUCGUACCCCAAACCGACACAGGUGGUCAGGUAGAGAAUACCAAGGCGCUUGAGAGAACUCGGGUGAAGGAACUAGGCAAAAUGGUGCCGUAACUUCGGGAGAAGGCACGCUGGUGUGUAGGUGAAGCCCCUGCGGGUGGAGCUGAGACCAGUCGAAGAUACCAGCUGGCUGCAACUGUUUAUUAAAAACACAGCACUGUGCAAACACGAAAGUGGACGUAUACGGUGUGACGCCUGCCCGGUGCCGGAAGGUUAAUUGAUGGGGUUAUCCGUAAGGAGAAGCUCUUGAUCGAAGCCCCGGUAAACGGCGGCCGUAACUAUAACGGUCCUAAGGUAGCGAAAUUCCUUGUCGGGUAAGUUCCGACCUGCACGAAUGGCGUAAUGAUGGCCAGGCUGUCUCCACCCGAGACUCAGUGAAAUUGAACUCGCUGUGAAGAUGCAGUGUACCCGCGGCAAGACGGAAAGACCCCGUGAACCUUUACUAUAGCUUGACACUGAACAUUGAGCCUUGAUGUGUAGGAUAGGUGGGAGGCUUUGAAGCGUGGACGCCAGUCUGCGUGGAGCCAACCUUGAAAUACCACCCUUUAAUGUUUGAUGUUCUAACGUUGGCCCCUUACCGGGGUUGCGGACAGUGUCUGGUGGGUAGUUUGACUGGGGCGGUCUCCUCCCAAAGCGUAACGGAGGAGCACGAAGGUUAGCUAAUCCUGGUCGGACAUCAGGAGGUUAGUGCAAUGGCAUAAGCUAGCUUGACUGCGAGCGUGACGGCGCGAGCAGGUGCGAAAGCAGGUCAUAGUGAUCCGGUGGUUCUGAAUGGAAGGGCCAUCGCUCAACGGAUAAAAGGUACUCCGGGGAUAACAGGCUGAUACCGCCCAAGAGUUCAUAUCGACGGCGGUGUUUGGCACCUCGAUGUCGGCUCAUCACAUCCUGGGGCUGAAGUAGGUCCCAAGGGUAUGGCUGUUCGCCAUUUAAAGUGGUACGCGAGCUGGGUUUAGAACGUCGUGAGACAGUUCGGUCCCUAUCUGCCGUGGGCGCUGGAGAAUUGAGGGGGGCUGCUCCUAGUACGAGAGGACCGGAGUGGACGCAUCACUGGUGUUCGGGUUGUCAUGCCAAUGGCACUGCCCGGUAGCUAAAUGCGGAAGAGAUAAGUGCUGAAAGCAUCUAAGCACGAAACUUGCCCCGAGAUGAGUUCUCCCUGAGACUUUAAGUCUCCUGAAGGAACGUUGAAGACGAUGACGUUGAUAGGCCGGGUGUGUAAGCGCAGCGAUGCGUUGAGCUAACCGGUACUAAUGAACCGUGAGGCUUAACCUU